Molecule: ribosomal RNA, 440 nt
Filed under: uncultured bacterium
Lineage: Bacteria
Description: partial 16S ribosomal RNA
Rfam family: Bacterial small subunit ribosomal RNA
Source: RNAcentral
CCUACGGGAGGCAGCAGUGGGGGAUAUUGCACAAUGGGGGGAACCCUGAUGCAGCGACGCCGCGUGGGUGAAGAAGCGCCUCGGCGCGUAAAGCCCUGUCAGCAGGGAAGAAAAUGACGGUACCUGAAGAAGAAGCCCCGGCUAACUACGUGCCAGCAGCCGCGGUAAUACGUAGGGGGCAAGCGUUAUCCGGAUUUACUGGGUGUAACGGGGGCGCAGACGGCGAUGCAAGCCAGGAGUGAAAGCCCGGGGCCCAACCCCGGGACUGCUCUUGGAACUGGGUGGCUGGAGUGCAGGAGGGGCAGGCGGAAUGCCUGGUGUAGCGGUGAAAUGCGUAGAUAUCAGGAGGAACACCGGUGGCGAAGGCGGCCUGCUGGACUGCAACUGACGUUGAGGCCCGAAAGCGUGGGGAGCAAACAGGAGUAGAUACCCGUGUAGUC